Molecule: microRNA, 22 nt
Filed under: Monodelphis domestica (gray short-tailed opossum)
Lineage: Eukaryota; Metazoa; Chordata; Mammalia; Didelphimorphia; Didelphidae
Description: mdo-miR-7373f-3p
Source: miRBase by way of RNAcentral
CAGGCACUAAUAAAGGGUUUAU